RNAcentral lists this microRNA (23 nucleotides) under Mus musculus (house mouse). RNAcentral's name for it is "mmu-miR-7660-3p". The record is from miRBase by way of RNAcentral. Lineage: Eukaryota; Metazoa; Chordata; Mammalia; Rodentia; Muridae.
AUCUGUAAGUGAUGGGCAAAGUA